This is a long non-coding RNA of Xenopus laevis (African clawed frog), 587 nucleotides long. RefSeq lists it as uncharacterized. The transcript is spliced from 2 exons. Lineage: Eukaryota; Metazoa; Chordata; Amphibia; Anura; Pipidae. The record is from RefSeq and is a predicted model, not a curated record.
CUUCAGGCAUGGUGUUGGGGAGGUUGCACACAAACGGAGCAGAUUUCAGUGUAACAAUGCAUUCUCUAGGAUUUUCUGCAUUUCACUCAAUCCACCUGACCCCAGGCCAAAGCAUGCGUGCAGAAAAAUGGCGGAGCAGAGAGAUAACAAAAGAUGCAGAUGCUACAUGGUAUGACAUGGAAAUCUUGAAAGGUAAUUCUUUGCUUCAAGAAACAAAUGACUACAUCCAAAACUCACUUCAAGGAACCAGACCAUCCACUCGUUCACCCCCCAGGACUCACCGUACUAAUAGGCUUCUGUUGUCUUACUUCAGGUAAAUAGCCCUAACCUGUCUCUUUAGAUCUGGGAAUCUGUGUCCAAUCUCGGAAUAUUGAUAUAUAUGUAAUACGAAACCGUGAAAAGGUAAUGUUAUGCUAGCUUUGUUUUAUGUUUCUGUUUAUUUUCUCUUUCUCUAAAUGUAUCGUAUCCUAUAUGGCAUGCAUACUUCCUUCACUAUGUUGACUGAUACUGGGACUUUUCUGGUCCAUUGAUGUAUGACAUGCUUACGAAAAUCUUUAAUAAAAACAACUUUUAAAAAAAAAAAAAAA